CUUGAGGUGACGAAGUAGUGAAAGAUCUGCGUACCGACGGAUGUGUACGUUAAAGGGUGUAGAUAUAGCAUGGUUGGCAAAUCCGCCAUGUUGUCGAACCUGAUAGUACCGUGAGUCUUCGGACAAGCGGAUAAUGAUCCUAAUCAAACUUCCAAGAAAAACCUCUAAGCUUCAGGUAACUUCCGCCCGUACCGCAAACCGACACAGGUAGUCGAGGAGAGAAUCCUAAGGUGCUCGAGUGAUCCAUGGCUAAGGAACUAGGCAAAUUAACCCUGUAACUUAGGGAGAAAGGGUCCCCCGCGAGGGGGCGCAGAGAAAUGGCCCAGGCGACUGUUUAUCAAAAACACAUGGCUUUGCAAAAUCGCAAGAUGAAGUAUAAGGCCUGACACCUGCCCGGUGCUGGAAGGUUAAGAGGAGAUGUCAUUCGCAAGAAGAAGCAUUGAAUUGAAGCCCCAGUAAACGGCGGCCGUAACAAUAACGGUCCUAAGGUAGCGAAAUUCCUUGUCGGGUAAGUUCCGACCUGCACGAAUGGUGUAACGAUCUGGGCACUGUCUCAGCCAUGAGCUCGGUGAAAUUGAAGUAACGGUGAAGAUGCCGUUUACCCGCCACGGGACGGAAAGACCCCGUGAACCUUCACUGCAACUUAACAUUGAUAUUGGAUAUAAGAUGUGUAGGAUAGGUGGGAGACUACGAAGCGGGGGCGCCAGCCCUCGUGGAGUCAUCCUUGAAAUACCACCCUUCUUAUAUUUGGUGUCUAACCCCGCAAGGCGGGGGACAUUGUUUGGUGGGUAGUUUGACUGGGGUGGUCGCCUCCAAAAGAGUAACGGAGGCUUUCAAAGGUACCCUCAGCACGCUUGGUAACCGUGCGUAGGGUGCAAUGGCAUAAGGGUGCUUGACUGUGAGACCAACAAGUCGAGCAGGUACGAAAGUAGGACAUAGUGAUCCGGUGGUUCCAUAUGGAAGGGCCAUCGCUCAAAGGAUAAAAGGUACUCCGGGGAUAACAGGCUGAUCACUCCCAAGAGCUCACAUCGACGGAGUGGUUUGGCACCUCGAUGUCGGCUCGUCACAUCCUGGGGCUGGAGUAGGUCCCAAGGGUUCGGCUGUUCGCCGAUUAAAGUGGCACGCGAGCUGGGUUCAGAACGUCGCGAGACAGUUCGGUCCCUAUCUGUGGUGGGCGUUGGAAUUUUGAGAAGCGCUGUCUUUAGUACGAGAGGACCGAGAUGGACAUACCUCUAGUGUACCUGUUAUGGCGCCAGCUGUACCGCAGGGUAGCUACGUAUGGAGUGGAUAAGUGCUGAAAGCACCUAAGCACGAAGCCUGCUUCAAGAUGAGAAUUCCUUUAAGGGUCGUUGUAGACUACGACGUUGAUAGGCUGUAGGUCUAAAGUCAGUAAUGACAAAGCCGAGCAGUACUAAUUACCCGA
RNAcentral lists this ribosomal RNA (1423 nucleotides) under metagenome. Its description in RNAcentral is "bacterial LSU rRNA". It matches the Rfam family "Bacterial large subunit ribosomal RNA", at positions 1463 to 2912 of the family's 2925-position model. The record is from RNAcentral.